CCUGAUCGAGCAAUGCCGCGUGUGCGAAGAAGGCCUUCGGGUUGUAAAGCUCUUUUGUCGGGGAAGAAAUCCUUUGGGCUAAUACCCUAUGGGGAUGACGGUACCUGACCAAUAAGCACCGGCUAUCUACGUGCCAGCAGCCGCGGUAAUA
Molecule: ribosomal RNA, 151 nt
Filed under: uncultured Limnobacter sp.
Lineage: Bacteria; Pseudomonadati; Pseudomonadota; Betaproteobacteria; Burkholderiales; Burkholderiaceae
Description: partial 16S ribosomal RNA
Rfam family: Bacterial small subunit ribosomal RNA
Source: RNAcentral